GGUGGUUAUAUUUCUUCAUUUACCAACAACGUAGCAGCAACUACCACAGCUUGUGGUGGAAAAUUUGACAAGAAAUUCUAGGUAAUUAGCAUGUUUAAAGGGAAAUGCCUAAGCAAUUAAGAGAAGGAAGAAUCAGAGGGAAAACAAGAAGGCUUUUGUUACCCCUAUACAAGCUAGGGUUGUUUGUAGUUCAUCAACACCAAAGUAAAUCGUAGGAAUCUAUGCAGAAGAAGGAAUCUUGGCGAAGAUUGCUAAAUGCUUUCAUAUGAUUGAAUAAUUGAACGGUUGAGGUUUUAAAUUCGUGGAUCAUGGAUUUGGAACAAAUUAGAAGUGAUCUAACUACAAGUAGUUUAGGGCCUUGAAUCAUAGUGAAGGACCGUAGAUUUUUCUAUGAAUAGUGGAUGUAUUCCAUAUCAAGGACGAUUGGGACAAUCACUCUAAAUCUGGUGCAUCUUCUCC
Molecule: long non-coding RNA, 459 nt
Filed under: Medicago truncatula (barrel medic)
Lineage: Eukaryota; Viridiplantae; Streptophyta; Magnoliopsida; Fabales; Fabaceae
Description: lncRNA gene20728
Source: RNAcentral